RNAcentral lists this long non-coding RNA (5326 nucleotides) under Sus scrofa (pig). RNAcentral's name for it is "lncRNA (ENSSSCG00035033483.1)". Lineage: Eukaryota; Metazoa; Chordata; Mammalia; Artiodactyla; Suidae. The record is from RNAcentral.
UUUUUUUGUUUUUUUUUUCUAUGUAAGAUACUAUAAAACACAUCUCAGUUUAGAAUCCUGGGCAUCUCAUCAUUUCCUUUCUUCCCAGAGGACUGAGAUUAAUAAUGGCCAAAAGAGCCCAUGUAUGUAGAGUGUAAGUUUUACUUUUCUGCUCCUAUGACUUCAUACCCUAGGUAAUACACCUCUGAAUAAAUGGCUGUCUCAUCAUCUCUAUCCUGGACCAUCAUGCAAACUCACUGUCCUAGUUUUAAUACACAUUCACCUUCAGCCUCCUACUUCUAAUGGGCUUGCCAGGCUGCCUCCCCUUUUAGAGUUUGCCCAAAGAAAAGGGCAAACUCCAAAAAAAAAAAAAAGAGAAACAUCAUCUCCAUAAACCAUUUAGUCAACUGGCUUCAUUACUAAAUGCUACGUUGUUUACCAAUAGCCUGGGGGUUUCCUCCCCUUAGAGAAGAGAAAAAACACCCUGGGCAAACAAGUGUUUCCGACACAAUAACUCUUUAAUCUCUGCUUCUAACUGGAAUGUGAUGGUCACACCUCUUUUGAAUUAUUCCCCACAUUGAGUUAACAGCCUCUCCAUUGUACACACCUCCAUUACUAUACUUUUUACCUUGAAUUUCAAUUAUUUUUUAAUUUAUCUCUUUUGUGAAACUAUGAGUGUCUAGUUUACAAGGAUAGCGACAUUUUUCUAUGCAGUUCUAUACCUACCAUUUAAAGGCAUCACCCUCAGUAAGUGUUUGUUAAAUAUUUGUUAGAUGAAUAAGAAUUGCAUGUUUAAUACCAGAGGCUACAAUUAUUUUGCAGCACCUUUUAAUAACUGACCACAGAAAAGUAUUUACUAAGAAGUUUCUAUCUAGAAGCACACACUAUAAAAUGGUUAAAUAUGGCCUUAUCUUUUAAUAACAUUAUAUAUAUAUCACUUCUAUGAUAAAUAAAAGCCAUUUGAGUUAUGUAUCACCAACCACAAGCAAACUUAAUAAAAGCCUCCAUAUAAGAUUAAGAACGUGAGCUAUGGCAUAAAAUCGGCUUCUUCAGAAGAAAGUAUUAAAAGUUUGGAGAUUAAAAAUAUAAUUUACCUUGAUAGUGGCCCCAAGACAGUACAGUUUAUGACCUAAUGAAGUAAGUACAAACAAGCACCUCUCAAGGUCUCCUUCCUCUGGCUUCGGAGGAUUUCUCCAACCAGAUCACAGCUCACAAUCCCAUCAAUGUGCUGUGUCAUUGCUAUAGCCCCACCUGCGCUCUUUCUUUAACUUUAGGCUUAGGUGACUUAAAUUUCAUUCAAGUCACAUGUGAGUAUGACCAUAUCUUCUUUGAGGUCCUAUCGCAUUUGUGUUGUAUAUACCCUUUAGGGUGUGCAGCCCACACUGAACCCUGACUACCUCAUCCUUAGACAGGGAUCACUACAGGAUCCCAUCCUUCAAGGCACAGCUGAUUAAAUUAGAAAGGGAUGUCAGUGACCAAACUGUUCAGGCUCUACCCAUACCACUCACCCUUACCACUUCAGUUUGCCCAACACCCAAGUGUCAGACUUAGCACAUUUUGCCUCAAGUCUCUCUCCAAAGCCGAAGAAGACCGUUCUCUCCAAGGACAGAGCAAGCCAGAAGUACUGUAGGAUUAUCACCCCCUAAUAACACCUUCAACCAAUGAUGAUGGGAGUUGAUGUGUAGUCAGUCCUUUGCCAGCUUGGAUGGAAUAACUGAGUGUAUGUUCUGCUGGGCAUUUUUCCAUUUCCCAGUGGAUUGCCCUCCGGUCACCCUUAGUCAGAGCCAGCUUAGUAACAUCCUAUAUUGGAUGCCUUAUCUUCCCCGUUCCACUUGCCCAUGUUCCUUUCUUACAUGCCCCCCCCCCCAUGUAAUACGUUUGCACUGAAACUCUUAUUUCAAGGUCUGCUUCUUUGAGAAUCCAAACUAAGUCUACACCCAAACCAAGGGAGCCAGUCAGAUUUUCUCGCCUGGGAUUUUGUAACUAAAAGCAAUGAAAUUUCACCUGGGAUGGUAUGAAAAUGUAUUCUUACUUUUUUUUAAAUUUUAGUCCAUUUCAGAGGGUCAGUUCCAUCCUUCAAUUCUAUUAUUCAUUUCUGUAUUUAUAUAACAAAUGUCUUUGGGUUUUAGCUAAGCAUAAAGUUGAGUUUUGUUACUUUGAACCAAAAUAUCUUAUUUUACCAUUUUUAUUAACUGAAAUAUCAUAUUUGAAAACAAGAUAGGACCCUUCAUCAAGUCCAACCUUCAUAUUGUAGAUAGAAAUACAAAAUGAAAAUAAUUGCCAGAGAUGCAAAGCCUUCCCUUUUUCUUUCUUCUAUCACCUUUCCCCAAACCUGGUACUGAAUACCAAAUGAAACUUCAUAUUUGAGAGCCUAUGUCCAUUCUUAGCUUCGUAUUAUCAUUCAUCUAUUCAUUCAACAAAUAUUUAUGGAAUGUUCACAUGCCAGUCAGUGAGUUAGGCACUUGAAAUAUAACACAGAGACUGAGGUAUAACACAGAGACUAAGAUUGCUCUUUCCAGGACUUCUCCUGUGGCACAGUAGGUUAAGGAUCCAACAUUGUCACUGCAGUGGCCUGGGUUGCUGCUGUGCUGCAGAUUUCAUCUCUGGCCCAGGAAUUCCCAUGUGCUGUGGGCAUGGCAAAACAACAACAACAACAAAAAAAGAUUGCUCAUUCCAAUAGUGUCCUUACAGAGGGGAAUGCAACAGUGAGUGCGCAAGUGCAACAGCACUUCUACGAUGGGAGAAGUACUGGGUCCUAUGAGAAUAGGUAGCAAGAAAUCGAACCAAGACCCAGGAUAUAUGGAAUAUUUUUUAGAGAAAAUGUUGGAAUGAAUGGCCCAUAUUUGAGGAGCACAUAACAAAUUCUCUCUUUCCCAGGACCUUCACAGACAUUCCAUUCCCUUCUCCAGGAACAGCCUCCUGUCCUGACUUGGCUUCCACUGCAUUAUCUGGCUAACUCCUGCAAAACCCAUUAAGACAGGGAUGGACUGCAUCUGUCUAUUCACCGCUGCAUCCUCAUACUAGCAAAGUGUCUGCUCUAAUACAGGAGCUUAAGAGGUAUUUGAAAGGUAAAGAAUAUUUAACCACACUGUAUGACAAUCAUUUUGUUUGCAUGACUAGGAGCUCCUUAAGGGCAGUAAUGGUGUUUCACUUUUUCACUCUGAACAAGACCUGCCUCUUCCUAUCUCUCUAAAUAAGCCCAGAUUUCUAAUAGUCUGCGAGUGUAUCACAAGCCCUUAGUGGUACCCACUUUCCAACUCUGGAGUUAAAUCAACUUCCCUUUACCUAUCUGCUUGCUUUUCACUCUUGGUGCUGAUGUUUCCUUCAACUGUCACCUCAUUUGGCCCCAUAUUCCCAUGAUCCCACUCUGCUCAGCCCCUCAGAUUGACAGGCCAGUUUAAACUCACUGCAAUUCUGAUUUUGUCCUCAGCGCCACCUCUGGGACACUAUUUCUCAUUUCUCGUUUUCCCCAUCUGCGACCACAUAAAUAGGAAAUACUUUGAGGGGCAUCUGCUCUCUAUCCUCCCUCUCACCUGGUCCCUCCAUCAUGAGAGAAAAGGGGUUAUUAGAUAAGCCUCCAGGUCAGUGUCAGGGCUACAGUAGUCAUCUCACUGAACUGAGGUUUUCAGAAUGAUUUUUUUUUCAAGUGACAUCAGUUUUCCGGUGGAAGUCACUGUAGGAAUAUUACUUGAUCUACAAAACCUGCUUCACAUAUUUUGUGAACUCUACCUGUAUCAUUUACCUUCUCAAAAAUACGUUACAGAAUUUAAGGAACUGUGCUUUUGCGGGGAUAAACUGUAUAAGCAACAAAUCUAGGGAAGAUUUUUAUUUUAUUCUAUAAUAUUCUACCAUGGAAAUUGACUUAGAUGCAUUCAUUAUAAAAUGUGCCUAGCUUACACUGACUGAAGAGACUACCUAGAGAGGCUGCAGUAUAUGCCAUUUUCAGUCAACACUACAAACCCACAAUUUCUUUUUACCUCACCAUUCUAUUGGCUCCCACGGGAGACACUGAGAGACCAUGAAAAAGAAGAAAAUUAAACUUACAGGAGGAAAUUUAAUUUUAAAACACAUCUUAGCACUCGGCUCUCUGUUGACAGUGUGUCGGGGGUGGUGAGGAUGAAUGUAUCUAGGUUUCCAGGAGCUAUACCCUGUCUGGCUCACACUGUAUUCUCUAAUGACUUUCCCUCCACCAUUUACCUCCAUCUUUACUUACCAAAAACCUACCUAUUCUUUCAUUUCAAAAGUCUCCACUUGUAAAAGACUUCGAAAACUCCCUCUCUUCCAUGUAGUUCCACAGUGGUUCUCAUCAAUCUUUCUGGGCACUUGCCAAUAGUAAUUUACAUUUACAUGUUGCUCAUUCUGUGCCAGGCACUGUUGUCAACACUUUAUUUAUCAUAACUCAUUUAAUCCUCACAACAACCAUAUCUGGUAGGUACUAUUGGUAACCCCAAUUUAUAGAUGAGGAAACUGAGGCACAGAGCAGUUAAGUAAGUUAUCCAAAUCAUAUGGUUAGAAAAGGGGAGCAGGAUCAAAGUUAAACGCAAGCAGUCGAACUCUGAAAUAUAUACUCUUGCCUGUUCUCCUAUAAUUUACUCUCAGACACUAGCUACUGGGAAUAGCAAGAUAGAUAAGACAUGACCCCUGGCACAGGGAUGUGACUAUAUGGUGUGGAGAUACACAAACUGACCAUUUCAAUAUGAAGUGCUAUGAAAGAGGUAUAUACCAGCUGUUACAGCACCACAGAGGAGGGGCACUGAGAGAAAGCCUAGAAGUUAGAGCAAGUAAAUCUUUUUUUCUGUUUUGUUUCUUUUUUGUUUCUUUUUUAGGGCCAUAUCUGCUGCAUAUGGAAGUUCCCAAGGUAGAGGUCAAAUCAGAGCUGCAGCUGCCAGCCUACACCACAGCCAUAGCAGUUCCAGAUCCAAGCAAGGUCUGCAACCUGCACCACAGCUCAUAGCAACACCGGAUCCCUAACCCACUGAGUGAGGCCAGGAAUCAAACUCAUGUCGCCAUGGAUACUAGUUGGGUUCAGUACCACUAAGCCACAACAGGAACUCCCAGAGAAGGUAAGUCGUAAGAAGGUGUUCCUAGAUGGCAAUCAGAUGAAGAAAGAUUUUCCAUUCAGAGAACAGCACAUAUAGAGUCAUCAAGACAUGAAACAGAGCAGUUUGAGCACUCAUUAAUUUAUUCAAAAAUUAUUAUUUCUUUAACAUCAGCUACAUGCUAAGCACUGUGCUCAAUGUGAAGUCCUGGGAGUGAUGGUAGCAAGGGAGAAAAGAAAGUGCGUCAAGCAGUUUAGUAUUACUGGUGCAUGAGAACUGGAAAUGUAAGCAGGGUCAAUUCAUGGAGU